RNAcentral lists this long non-coding RNA (837 nucleotides) under Oryctolagus cuniculus (rabbit). RNAcentral's name for it is "lncRNA (ENSOCUG00000037775.1)". Lineage: Eukaryota; Metazoa; Chordata; Mammalia; Lagomorpha; Leporidae. The record is from RNAcentral.
AUGCAGGUAGCGUCCAUGCCAGGGCUCUGCCGGGCAGGAGACACAGCUACCAGGAAGAGCUCGCUCCCCUGGAGGCUUCCACUGGGGGCUGUGAAUGCCAGGAUGGUGCAAGCCCUCUCUCCUGGGAAGAGAGCCUGUGUCCAAGAUGGAGUCCAAGAGACAGAGAGCACCCUCAGAUCCCAUGAGAUCCCUCAGUGUCUGCGGAUCUUUUCCAGCCCACAAAUACAGACGUUCCGGUUUCCCAUUCCUGAAACAUUGAUAUGGUCUGAUAGAUUUAGAGGCACCGGUGCUUGGCGGGUAGUGAGGAAGACUUUGGUGAAGUCAGCAGCACGUGGUCCACGCUUGCGUCUCCGAGGGGAAAGGCAGGCGCAGCAUCAGACACGGUGGCAGCAGGAGGAGGCUGAAGCCACAGACCGUGUUCAGGAAGUGACGCUCCUGCUUCACCAAGUGUCCACCACAGCCCCGGCAGCCACGAGGGGCAGCUCAGCAAGGCCACCAAGGGCUCAGGGUGCCCCACACCCUGUGCCUCUGCUUUACCCAGAGCCUGAUCCUCUGAGUGGCCAUGGACACAUCCACCUCAGCUGGACCAGUGCUUGUCCCUGGACCAUGAGGACCACCAGGGAGGUCCAAGGCAGGAAUACGGGUAACGCCGGCCAGCAGUGCCUGGAGAACGACCCAGCAAUCGCUCCCCCGUCAGUGACGUCACGGGCUCCACUGGCAGCCAGGUGCUGCAUGUCCAGGGAGGGCCCACUCGGCUCUUCAGCGUCAUUCAGGACUCGGGGUGCAGAGAAGCAGGAGGUGGAACAGUUCCCUGGUCAUGCACCUGCCCAGAUGUGA